Frankliniella occidentalis (western flower thrips) is the source of this 4915-nucleotide long non-coding RNA. RefSeq lists it as uncharacterized. Lineage: Eukaryota; Metazoa; Arthropoda; Insecta; Thysanoptera; Thripidae. The transcript has 3 exons. The record is from RefSeq and is a predicted model, not a curated record.
UGCUCCGUCCGAGAUAACGAAACUGAGUGUUCUGCUGUCAAACUAUGGGUUGCUUAAUUUGCACCGGGUGUGCCUGUUCAAACUCAGCCACAAAAGUUAUGUAGUACACCCUCAAUUACUUAUUCAACACGAAAUCAAGUUCAAAAUAAUAAUCCAAGAACCUGGGAAUUUAAUUUUUCUUGCCCCUAAUGCUGCACACACAGGUGGCAAUAUGGGUGUCAUUUUCUUGUUUCCUCUAAAAGUGCUCAUGCGCUUCUCCAUUUUACUAUGAUUAGAGUACUUGUGAAGUAUAUUUUUUUUGUAUUAUUUUUAGGGAGUACAAGGUGCACAUGGAUAUCACACCACUCUUUAAAAUGCAUUGCAAGGAUCUGCUUAAAUAUCAUGUAAAUAAAACAAUGGCAGAAAAUUUCAAUGACCCUCAUUUUAAAAGAUCAAUUAUUGCUGUGAAUUCUGAGAAUUUUCAGAGACCAGCACCUUUAUCUAUUGAGGCAUCAGGUACUACUUCUUCCAAGAACACUACAGUGAUUGUGAAAAAAGAACGUGUGGCAUGCCCUGUGCAGCAGGAGGGGUGUUUCAAAACCUACCAGAGCCCUGUAAGAAGAGAAACCCUAAUGACUCACAUCCAACAAGAACACAGUAAAUAUUCAACAGAUGUGAGCAUUUUAAAGGCAGUUGACAGUCUUUGCUGCACUUAAAAGAUAAGUACUGGUCAGCGUUAUGAAUGCAGUAAUUGUGGAGCCAAUAUAAGUGUCAAUAGCAGCAGGCAUAAGGGGAGUAAAGCAUGCAAAGUAAAAGCUUUGAAAAACCAGACAGCAAAGUCAUAAGUUGAUGGUCCAACAAUUGCCUUGAAAUGCUAUACUAAGUAAUGUUGAUUUCAAUUUAAAUUUUAGCAACUUAUAGUGUAUCUGUAAAAGAGUUUUUUUGUCAUUUUUUAUAAAUAUAUCCAGCUAAGAAAUAGUAUGAUUGUUUUGAAAGUGUUCUGUAAUCCUACAUGUAAGCUGAGUUUCUUAUAAACACUAAACUGUAUACAGUGGUACUUUUAACAUAAUUAGUGUUCAGACAAGAUUGCCUCAGUAAUUUAAAUCAAUCUUAUCAAAGAGAAUCUUACAAGGUAAUUUUAACCUGAUUGCAUUUUUGUAAAUUUGUGUUUAAACACUAAAUAGUAGAAUAAUGUGAGCCAAAAACAUCCAGUUUGGUACUGUUCUUUCCGCUUGUGUGCGACAAGUCAAAUAAUGCUGUAGGUAGAUCUGAGAUCAGUAAAUGUUUGAAAAUCCAUAGCUGGUGAUUGAGUAUUUGUACUGUAUCAGAAAAGUUCACUUCAAUACCUGAAUGAAACUGCUUGUCUAUGCCUAAUCAGAGUCAGAUUCGGAAUCCUCAUCUACAUUUAAGUGGAGACCAUGAUUCACAGCUGCCAUGUUAACAUAUGAAGCCUCAUGUAAAAAGCGGGAAGCAGUUAUUUGCCCAUUCUCUAGAAGUCCUGUCAAUCUUUGGAUUCUUUUAUCAUUUAGUUUUGCACGCCACCUUUUUCCAGCAGUCACAGAGUCUCCUCUGUCAAUAGCAGUUUUGUCAGCAAAAGCUAAAUGCUCUAACUGCACAAAGGCACCUGAAAAAGAAUGUACCAUUUUUUCAGUAGGAGAUAAAAUUUAUGACUAUGAUGAAAUUCAGUUUGUCAAUGUAAAGGAAACAGCAAGGGAUAUCUAGGACUUUAGAUGUAGAGGCUGCAUCAUAUUUAGUUGAUUUCAGUCAGAAGAACAUGAAACAUGUCGUUAAGCAGAAACCUGAUCCUUAUACAAUUCGUAUUGUUGUCCUCCCCAACAAAGUUAUCUUCCCAAUUUUAUCAAUAAUUAAUACCAAUAUUAACAUACCGAUUAGAUGCCAUACAUUAGGUCUGUUCUGUGGUAUGAGCGAAGCCAGGCUUCUGUUGUCUGAUUCAGAAACGUUAUUGGUCCUUUCUGGUGAAUCAAAAACAGACAGCUCAUGCAGGCGUGGUAUCCAUUCCUUUUCCAAAUAUUGGAAAAGUGGCAGAAGUGUGUCAGCCCAGCUCAACCUCCACCUCAACCCAAAGUUCUAGAACACCAGCCCAAAUUCUGUGUCGUGGUAGGAGUGGGAUGCCAGCAAUGCACCUGAUGAAGGUUUUGACUUCAUCAUGAGCUUCAGCAAAAGGCGUUAAGCCUAGCUUAGAUGCAUGUAAGGAAGAUGCCUGGGAAUAUGAAGACAAUAAUACAUAAGUAUGUAAUCUAUCGUGAUAAGUUUCAGCACUGGUAACAUAUAGAUUUCACCAGAAGACAGUUUUGAGAUUGACGUUCAUUUCUGUUUGAGUCAAUUUGUGUUCUCCUACAUUCUACUUUCCUUUCAUCGGUUUCUUAAUAAUAAUCAAGCCAUUUGCAAUUGCCAGAAGAUUAUUUUUUUCAUUUUUUUGAAACAAAUAAAUGAAAAAAGAUAUCCAAAAAAUUGCCAAUACAAAAGAAAUGCAAAGCAAAACACUGAAAGGAAGAGGGACAGCUGAACUAGGCUUAUCAUAAUACUCACAACACCAUAGUGCCACAGACAGCCCACUAUGCGGCUCAUGGGCACAACUCUUUUGAAGGCGUUCAUUUGUGCUCUCUCAAAAUCACAGUGCACUCUCUUUGGUGCCCAAUUGGAAGCGAGUGACUUAAGAUAACUAAGUACAGCAACAUAGGCUUCUUCGUGGCGUCUAAUCAUGAGUACUCUGACUACUGCUACAACCUAUAAAAAAAGGACAAAAAAAUAACUUACGUAGAAAAAUACAAGCACUUACACACUGGUACUCCAAAACAAAACAAAUCGUGGCUUCUAAAUAAGCUGACUACAAAAAAACCUUACAUAUCCACCAUGAUUUGUGCACAAAUUGAAAAUUUGUGACAUCUUUGGCUUGCGUGACCGCUUUUUAAAGGUGCCGUGACCACGGAUGUUCGUGACUGUUCCCAAGAACUGUAGCAUACGCCGAAAGCUAUUGUCUUGUUUAGUAAAUCGCCCACUACACCUUGGAAGAUGAAGUCUGUUUUGUCUACAGUUUCACAAAGCCUUCGUAGGUUUGGCAUGCCCAGUAAAACACCUAAGUGAAUCAAAGUCUUCGGAAUGCAUGGAUUGUUUCUUGACCUAGCCACAUCCAUGGCCGAGUGCAUCCUAACUGGUCAAAAUCUGUUAGCUACAGCAGGGCUUUGCCUGCCAAACAGAAAUAAAUAAUCAGGUAAGAGUAUAGAGAUAAAUUAAUAAAUUAAAUAUAGGAGAGCUGUGGCAUGAAUAGAACCUUACUGCAAUUUGAUUUGGUUCAGAAUGGUUCUUAGUUUGGUACCAAAAGAAUCUGUUGAUACUGUAUGUAUUGUGAGCCGUCGAAGAUCCAUGUCCUGCUCAAGAAGCGGAUCUGGAGGAUGGUCGUGCGGUUUCAGAUGUACCAGAGUUGCUGAGGCAAGGUUCAGAGAAGCAGUAGCUGUGCAUCCACGAUGAUGGUGCCGACACUGAAGCCGCAGCCUAGACUUUCGUCUUUCGUGGACGUUGUAGUGCCAGCCAUCACUUGAAUGAAGUAUGACAGAAUCUAUCGAUCUGCCUCGAAAGAAGCGGACUGGUAGUGCAGCCAUUUCUAAAAUUAUGGCGUCCUAAUAUUACAAAGAAAUGUCACAAAGUAAGGCUAGUGGCUGCUAACGUGGGAAGAAGAGAUGCGCCAUGCGCCGUGCGACUAGUCUUGCAGGGUGCAUGGUUAAGGUAACACACGGCGCAUGGCUCAUUGUGGGGGUAGCUUUUGGCACCCCAAAAAUUUGUUUCAUAAAGGUACUCACAUCAGUCAAAGCAAAAUAGUAAUUCUCCCCGAAUAUCGAAAGAACAGAGACGCUCUUCCGCUCUUCCGCUCGACCCAGAAACCAGUGCCUGUCCACUCCGACUUUCGGGGUGUUGUCUCUGGUGCGAAAGAGACGCAGAUAGAACCCCGAAACGUUAAGAAGGCGAGAGUCAGGAGGGGGAUCACGGAGCUCCUCUGCGCCUUCUAAAAAAACAGGGUGAGGGGGGUAGAGGGGGGCAAUUAGAAGGCGCUUCCGGGGAGCUCCGGAAUACCCCUCCAGCAGGCCCUGAUCCCAACCCAAAGAAGAAGAACCUGACGGAGAAGUCCGGUAUGAGAAUGACACACGAACGCAACCCGACGCGUGACGCAGGCGUGUUCAGGUUCCGGUCAGGAGCUCCGCCCAAUCACCUCAGCCCAAGGUUUUUUUCCUGCCCGUAGAGUUGGGGGAGUUGAGGUCGGUUGGGUGGAGCCUCAAGACGUUGAUGCCAAAAGAUAUUACAAUAGAAAGAAAAGAACCCUAUAGUAGUCAGUCGUUUGCUGUUCUUCGAUGGAAGAAAAAUUCAACAAUGUAAGUUCCGCUACAUUCUUUUAUUUGAUGUUUAAGUAAUUCAGAAAAGUUCAUAUCGCCAAAUCAGAUUUUGCCUACAUUUUGACAGGUUAUUUGCACGUGUUGCAAGUGCACGUGUUGCAAGUGCACGUGCUGUUUGGAGUGGCUGUGGUGCCAAUGUAUCUGUUGCGAGUUACGACGUAGUAAUAAUGCAACUGAGCAAAAAAAGUGUUAUUGUAAGUGUGACUGCCACUGCUGCACAUUUUACAAGAACAAUAACUGUCCAUGUGGAUGUUGUAAAGCGAGACCGAAAUCAGGUCGAUCACAUUCCGGUCGAGUCGCGGUUCCGGCGCCCCGUCUAAACCGUCUAGACGUGGCGUCAUUCCUCUGUUCUCGCCGUUUCCGCUGUUGCCAAAUUUCUACUUCCCCCACUCUUUUCCACCUUUCACGUGACCCCUGGCCGCAUGGAAAGGCUCGCGCCUGCAGCCAAAAAGCUGUCCAGCUGGCCGGCUGUCAAAUCGGGCUCGCUCUCACUCCUUCUCAUCUGCUUGAAGACACCAUUUCAACAAGCG